AUACGGAGGGAGCGAGCGUUAAUCGGAAUUACUGGGCGUAAAGCGCGCGUAGGCGGCUUUGUAAGUCGGAUGUGAAAGCCCUGGGCUCAACCUUGGAACUGCAUUCGAUACUGGUCGACUAGAGUACAGUAGAGGCAAGUGGAAUUUCCUGUGUAGCGGUGAAAUGCGUAGAUAUAAGAAGGAACAUCAGUGGCGAAGGCGACUUGCUGGACUGAUACUGACGCUGAGGAGCGAAAGCGUGGGGAGCAAACGGGAUUAGAUACCCCAGUAGUCC
Molecule: ribosomal RNA, 274 nt
Filed under: uncultured bacterium
Lineage: Bacteria
Description: partial 16S ribosomal RNA
Rfam family: Bacterial small subunit ribosomal RNA
Source: RNAcentral